AGCGAACGCUGGCGGCAGGCCUAAACAUGCAAGUCGAACGCCUGUAGCAAUACAGGAGUGGCAGACGGGUGAGUAACACGUGGGAACGUACCCUUUGGUUCGGAACAACACAGGGAAACUUGUGCUAAUACCGGAUAAGCCCUUACGGGGAAAGGAUUUAUCGCCAGAGGAUCGGCCCGCGUCUGAUUAGCUUGUUGGUGAGGUAACGGCUCACCAAGGCUACGAUCAGUAGCUGGUCUGAGAGGAUGAUCAGCCACACUGGGACUGAGACACGG
This 275-nucleotide ribosomal RNA is filed under the name uncultured bacterium. Its description in RNAcentral is "partial 16S ribosomal RNA". It matches the Rfam family "Bacterial small subunit ribosomal RNA", at positions 29 to 329 of the family's 1533-position model. The record is from RNAcentral.